This 27-nucleotide small RNA is filed under the name Bombyx mori (domestic silkworm). RNAcentral's name for it is "ovarian small RNA-32562". The record is from RNAcentral. Lineage: Eukaryota; Metazoa; Arthropoda; Insecta; Lepidoptera; Bombycidae.
UGAUAUUAUACGUAGGAGGUGUCGAUC